GACGAACGCUGGCGGCGUGCCUAAUACAUGCAAGUAGAACGCUGAAGAGAGGAGCUUGCUCUUCUUGGAUGAGUUGCGAACGGGUGAGUAACGCGUAGGUAACCUGCCUGGUAGCGGGGGAUAACUAUUGGAAACGAUAGCUAAUACCGCAUAACAACAGUUGUUGCAUGACAGCUGUUUAAAAGAUGCAAUUGCAUCACUACCAGAUGGACCUGCGUUGUAUUAGCUAGUUGGUGAGGUAACGGCUCACCAAGGCGACGAUACAUAGCCGACCUGAGAGGGUGAUCGGCCACACUGGGACUGAGACACGGCCUAGACUCCUACGGGAGGCAGCAGUAGGGAAUCUUCGGCAAUGGGGGGAACCUUGACCGAGCAACGCCGCGUGAGUGAAGAAGGUUUUCGGAUCGUAAAGCUCUGUUGUAAGAGAAGAACGGGUGUGAGAGUGGAAAGUUCACACUGUGACGGUAUCUUACCAGAAAGGGACGGCUAACUACGUGCCAGCAGCCGCGGUAAUACGUAGGUCCCGAGCGUUGUCCGGAUUUAUUGGGCGUAAAGCGAGCGCAGGCGGUUAGAUAAGUCUGAAGUUAAAGGCUGUGGCUUAACCAUAGUAUGCUUUGGAAACUGUUUAACUUGAGUGCAGAAGGGGAGAGUGGAAUUCCAUGUGUAGCGGUGAAAUGCGUAGAUAUAUGGAGGAACACCGGUGGCGAAAGCGGCUCUCUGGUCUGUAACUGACGCUGAGGCUCGAAAGCGUGGGGAGCAAACAGG
This 765-nucleotide ribosomal RNA is filed under the name uncultured Streptococcus sp. RNAcentral's name for it is "bacterial SSU rRNA". It matches the Rfam family "Bacterial small subunit ribosomal RNA", at positions 28 to 776 of the family's 1533-position model. The record is from RNAcentral. Lineage: Bacteria; Bacillati; Bacillota; Bacilli; Lactobacillales; Streptococcaceae.